This 906-nucleotide long non-coding RNA is filed under the name Homo sapiens (human). RNAcentral's name for it is "non-protein coding lnc-SGSH-3:1". Lineage: Eukaryota; Metazoa; Chordata; Mammalia; Primates; Hominidae. The record is from RNAcentral.
CCGCGCAGAGCCGGCGGCCAGCCUGGGAGCGGCCCAGAGGGCGCCCGGCGGGUGCAGUGGACGUCGUCAGCGCGCCGCGUGGGGGCCUUUGCAGAUUAAGGGACCUCCGCGGCCCCGCGCGGAGCGCUCUGUCACUGAUGAUGGAGGGGCCACGGCGGUCCGCACCAUCCCCCGUGCCUCAGUUUUCCCAUCUGUGAGGCUCAUGGUGUGACCAGGGACCUCCGUUUUAAAAUCACCCACUUUCUUUUUCUUCCUUCUCCUCUCACCCCUUCAUCCCGUCCCUCUCUGGACACUGCGCCCCUCUGCGCAUUCCAGAGGGGACCCUCAUCCUGAAACAAUUCCCGGCGCGGAACCCCAGCUGAAUGCUCCUGCUUGGGGCGGGGGGUCGCCAACAAUUAGUCCAACAUCCUCGACAGCCACCCCUCCUAACCGACAACUGCCCACGACAGCCAUGGGAACAAGACACAGACCCUGCCCUUACCCCACUCCCCACGGUGCCCACGGCAAGUUUCCCUAGAAGAACUCGAUGGCAGCCUGGGCAACAUAGAGAGACCCCAUCUCUACAAAAAAAAUCAUUUAAAAAAAUUAGCUGGGCGUGGUGGUGCACCUGAAGAGGCUGAGGCAAGAGGAUCGUUUGAGCCCAGGGAGCUCCAGGCUGCAGUGAGUCGUGAUCAUACCACUGCACUCCAGCCUGGAUGACAAAGUGAGAUCUUGCCUCAAAAACUAACAAACACACAAAACCUGAGGAUAAAUUUUUAAUUUUAGGGUGGCACUUUAUUUAUUGUUUGUUUGUUUUUUGGAGACAGUCUCACUCUAUACCCCAGGCUGGAGUGCAGUGGCGUGAUCUUGGCUCACUGCAAACUCCACCUCCCAGUUCAAGUGAUUCUCAUGCCUCAGCCUCCCGAG